RNAcentral lists this long non-coding RNA (16772 nucleotides) under Setaria viridis. Its description in RNAcentral is "long non-coding RNA (SVIR_LNC007897)". The record is from RNAcentral. Lineage: Eukaryota; Viridiplantae; Streptophyta; Magnoliopsida; Poales; Poaceae.
ACGAACGCAUGCAAUCUUCCUAAUUAGACCCUAGAACAUGUUUGGGAGUGUUUUUGGGCAUUCGGUUCCGGUAUGAAAAACGAUGCAAAACGGGUGCAUUUCGGCACCCGAAUGCACUUUUGCCGGGUAGCGAAACUCGGGUGGAUUUUUUCACAACGAACGCAUGCAAUCUUCCUAAAUAUGCACUAGAACAUGUUUGGGAGUGUUUUUGGGCAUUCGGUUCCGGCACGAAAAAUGAUGCAAAACGGGUGCAUUUCGGCACCCGAAUGCACUAUUGCCGGGUAGCGAAACUCGGGUGGAUUUUUCGCAACGAACGCAUGCAAUCUUCCUAAAUAUGCACUAGAACAUGUUUGGGAGUGCUUUUUGGGCAUUCGGUUCCGGCACGAAAAACGAUGCAAAACGGGUGCAUUUCGGCACCCGAAUGCACUAUUGCCGGGUAGCGAAACUCGGGUGGAUUUUUUCGCAACGAACGCAUGCAAUCUUCCUAAAUAUGCACUAGAACAUGUUUGGGAGUGUUUUGGGCAUUCGGUUCCGGCACGAAAAAUGAUGCAAAACGGGUGCAUUUCGGCACCCGAAUGCACUUGUUGCCGGGUAGCGAAACUCGGGUGGAUUUUUUCGCAACGAACAGCAUGCAAUCUUCCUAAAUAUGCACUAGAACAUGUUUGGGAGUGUUUUUGGGCAUUCGGUUCCGGCACGAAAAAUGAUGCAAAACGGGUGCAUUUCGGCACCCGAAUGCACUAUUGCCGGGUAGCGAAACUCGGGUGGAUUUUUUCGCAACGAACGCAUGCAAUCUUCCUAAUUAGACCCUAGAACAUGUUUGGGAGUGUUUUUGGGCAUUCGGUUCCGGCACGAAAAACGAUGCAAAACGGGUGCAUUUCGGCACCCGAAUGCACUAUUGCCGGGUAGCGAAACUCGGGUGGAUUUUUUCGCAACGAACGCAUGCAAUCUUCCUAAUAUAGCACUAGAACAUGUUUGGGAGUGUUUUUGGGCAUUCGGUUCCGGCACGAAAAAUGAUGCAAAACGGGUGCAUUUCGGCACCCGAAUGCACUAUUGCCGGGUAGCGAAACUCGGGUGGAUUUUUUCGCAACGAACGCAUGCAAUCUUCCUAAAUAUAGCACUAGAACAUGUUUGGGAGUGUUUUUGGGCAUUCGGUUCCGGCACGAAAAAUGAUGCAAAACGGGUGCAUUUCGGCACCCGAAUGCACUAUUGCCGGGUAGCGAAACUCGGGUGGAUUUUUUCGCAACGAACGCAUGCAAUCUUCCUAAAUAUGACACUAGAACAUGUUUGGGAGUGUUUUUGGGCAUUCGGUUCCGGCACGAAAAAUGAUGCAAAACGGGUGCAUUUCGGCACCCGAAUGCACUAUUGCCGGGUAGCGAAACUCGGGUGGAUUUUUUCGCAACGAACGCAUGCAAUCUUCCUAAAUAUGCACUAGAACAUGUUUGGGAGUGUUUUUGGGCAUUCGGUUCCGGCACGAAAAAUGAUGCAAAACGGGUGCAUUUCGGCACCCGAAUGCACUAUUGCCGGGUAGCGAAACUCGGGUGGAUUUUUUCGCAACGAACGCAUGCAAUCUUCCUAAUAUAGCACUAGAACAUGUUUGGGAGUGUUUUUGGGCAUUCGGUUCCGGCACGAAAAAUGAUGCAAAACGGGUGCAUUUCGGCACCCGAAUGCACUAUUGCCGGGUAGCGAAACUCGGGUGGAUUUUUUCGCAACGAACGCAUGCAAUCUUCCUAAUAUAAGCACUAGAACAUGUUUGGGAGUGUUUUUGGGCAUUCGGUUCCGGCACGAAAAAUGAUGCAAAACGGGUGCAUUUCGGCACCCGAAUGCACUAUUGCCGGGUAGCGAAACUCGGGUGGAUUUUUUCGCAACGAACGCAUGCAAUCUUCCUAAAUAUGCACUAGAACAUGUUUGGGAGUGUUUUUGGGCAUUCGGUUCCGGCACGAAAAAUGAUGCAAAACGGGUGCAUUUCGGCACCCGAAUGCACUAUUGCCGGGUAGCGAAACUCGGGUGGAUUUUUUCGCAACGAACGCAUGCAAUCUUCCUAAAUAUGCACUAGAACAUGUUUGGGAGUGUUUUUGGGCAUUCGGUUCCGGCACGAAAAAUGAUGCAAAACGGGUGCAUUUCGGCACCCGAAUGCACUAUUGCCGGGUAGCGAAACUCGGGUGGAUUUUUUCGCAACGAACGCAUGCAAUCUUCCUAAAUAUGCACUAGAACAUGUUUGGGAGUGUUUUUGGGCAUUCGGUUCCGGCACGAAAAAUGAUGCAAAACGGGUGCAUUUCGGCACCCGAAUGCACUAUUGCCGGGUAGCGAAACUCGGGUGGAUUUUUUCGCAACGAACGCAUGCAAUCUUCCUAAUAUAGCACUAGAACAUGUUUGGGAGUGUUUUUGGGCAUUCGGUUCCGGCACGAAAAAUGAUGCAAAACGGGUGCAUUUCGGCACCCGAAUGCACUAUUGCCGGGUAGCGAAACUCGGGUGGAUUUUUUCGCAACGAACGCAUGCAAUCUUCCUAAAUAUAGCACUAGAACAUGUUUGGGAGUGUUUUUGGGCAUUCGGUUCCGGCACGAAAAACGAUGCAAAACGGGUGCAUUUCGGCACCCGAAUGCACUAUUGCCGGGUAGCGAAACUCGGGUGGAUUUUUUCGCAACGAACGCAUGCAAUCUUCCUAAAUAUGCACUAGAACAUGUUUGGGAGUGUUUUUGGGCAUUCGGUUCCGGCACGAAAAAUGAUGCAAAACGGGUGCAUUUCGGCACCCGAAUGCACUAUUGCCGGGUAGCGAAACUCGGGUGGAUUUUUUCGCAACGAACGCAUGCAAUCUUCCUAAUUAGACCCUAGAACAUGUUUGGGAGUGUUUUUGGGCAUUCGGUUCCGGCACGAAAAAUGAUGCAAAACGGGUGCAUUUCGGCACCCGAAUGCACUAUUGCCGGGUAGCGAAACUCGGGUGGAUUUUUUCGCAACGAACGCAUGCAAUCUUCCUAAAUAUGCACUAGAACAUGUUUGGGAGUGUUUUUGGGCAUUCGGUUCCGGCACGAAAAAUGAUGCAAAACGGGUGCAUUUCGGCACCCGAAUGCACUAUUGCCGGGUAGCGAAACUCGGGUGGAUUUUUUCGCAACGAACGCAUGCAAUCUUCCUAAUUAGACCCUAGAACAUGUUUGGGAGUGUUUUUGGGCAUUCGGUUCCGGCACGAAAAAUGAUGCAAAACGGGUGCAUUUCGGCACCCGAAUGCACUAUUGCCGGGUAGCGAAACUCUGGUGGAUUUUUUCGCAACGAACGCAUGCAAUCUUCCUAAUUAGACCCUAGAACAUGUUUGGGAGUGUUUUUGGGCAUUCGGUUCCGGCACGAAAAACUGAUGCAAAACGGGUGCAUUUCGGCACCCGAAUGCACUUUUGCCGGGUAGCGAAACUCGGGUGGAUUUUUUCGCAACGAACGCAUGCAAUCUUCCUAAAUAUGCACUAGAACAUGUUUGGGAGUGUUUUUGGGCAUUCGGUUCCGGCACGAAAAAUGAUGCAAAACGGGUGCAUUUCGGCACCCGAAUGCACUAUUGCCGGGUAGCGAAACUCGGGUGGAUUUUUUCGCAACGAACGCAUGCAAUCUUCCUAAAUAUGCACUAGAACAUGUUUGGGAGUGUUUUUGGGCAUUCGGUUCCGGCACGAAAAAUGAUGCAAAACGGGUGCAUUUCGGCACCCGAAUGCACUAUUGCCGGGUAGCGAAACUCGGGUGGAUUUUUUCGCAACGAACGCAUGCAAUCUUCCUAAAUAUGCACUAGAACAUGUUUGGGAGUGUUUUUGGGCAUUCGGUUCCGGCACGAAAAAUGAUGCAAAACGGGUGCAUUUCGGCACCCGAAUGCACUAUUGCCGGGUAGCGAAACUCGGGUGGAUUUUUUCGCAACGAACGCAUGCAAUCUUCCUAAAUAUGCACUAGAACAUGUUUGGGAGUGUUUUUGGGCAUUCGGUUCCGGCACGAAAAAUGAUGCAAAACGGGUGCAUUUCGGCACCCGAAUGCACUAGUUGCCGGGUAGCGAAACUCGGGUGGAUUUUUUCGCAACGAACAGCAUGCAAUCUUCCUAAAUAUGCACUAGAACAUGUUUGGGAGUGUUUUUGGGCAUUCGGUUCCGGCACGAAAAAUGAUGCAAAACGGGUGCAUUUCGGCACCCGAAUGCACUAUUGCCGGGUAGCGAAACUCGGGUGGAUUUUUUCGCAACGAACGCAUGCAAUCUUCCUAAUUAGACCCUAGAACAUGUUUGGGAGUGUUUUUGGGCAUUCGGUUCCGGCACGAAAAAUGAUGCAAAACGGGUGCAUUUCGGCACCCGAAUGCACUUUUGCCGGGUAGCGAAACUCGGGUGGAUUUUUUCGCAACGAACGCAUGCAAUCUUCCUAAAUAUGCACUAGAACAUGUUUGGGAGUGUUUUUGGGCAUUCGGUUCCGGCACGAAAAAUGAUGCAAAACGGGUGCAUUUCGGCACCCGAAUGCACUAUUGCCGGGUAGCGAAACUCGGGUGGAUUUUUUCGCAACGAACGCAUGCAAUCUUCCUAAAUAUGCACUAGAACAUGUUUGGGAGUGUUUUUGGGCAUUCGGUUCCGGCACGAAAAAUGAUUCAAAACGGGUGCAUUUCGGCACCCGAAUGCACUAUUGCCGGGUAGCGAAACUCGGGUGGAUUUUUUCGCAACGAACGCAUGCAAUCUUCCUAAAUAUGCACUAGAACAUGUUUGGGAGUGUUUUUGGGCAUUCGGUUCCGGCACGAAAAAUGAUGCAAAACGGGUGCAUUUCGGCACCCGAAUGCACUAUUGCCGGGUAGCGAAACUCGGGUGGAUUUUUUCGCAACGAACGCAUGCAAUCUUCCUAAAUAUGCACUAGAACAUGUUUGGGAGUGUUUUUGGGCAUUCGGUUCCGGCACGAAAAAUGAUGCAAAACGGGUGCAUUUCGGCACCCGAAUGCACUAUUGCCGGGUAGCGAAACUCGGGUGGAUUUUUUCGCAACGAACGCAUGCAAUCUUCCUAAAUAUGCACUAGAACAUGUUUGGGAGUGUUUUUGGGCAUUCGGUUCCGGCACGAAAAAUGAUGCAAAACGGGUGCAUUUCGGCACCCGAAUGCACUAUUGCCGGGUAGCGAAACUCGGGUGGAUUUUUUCGCAACGAACGCAUGCAAUCUUCCUAAAUAUGCACUAGAACAUGUUUGGGAGUGUUUUUGGGCAUUCGGUUCCGGCACGAAAAAUGAUGCAAAACGGGUGCAUUUCGGCACCCGAAUGCACUAUUGCCGGGUAGCGAAACUCGGGUGGAUUUUUUCGCAACGAACGCAUGCAAUCUUCCUAAAUAUGCACUAGAACAUGUUUGGGAGUGUUUUUGGGCAUUCGGUUCCGGCACGAAAAACGAUGCAAAACGGGUGCAUUUCGGCACCCGAGUGCACUAUUGCCGGGUAGCGAAACUCGGGUGGAUUUUUUCGCAACGAACGCAUGCAAUCUUCCUAAAUAUGCACUAGAACAUGUUUGGGAGUGUUUUUGGGCAUUCGGUUCCGGCACGAAAAAUGAUGCAAAACGGGUGCAUUUCGGCACCCGAAUGCACUAGUUGCCGGGUAGCGAAACUCGGGUGGAUUUUUUCGCAACGAACACAUGCAAUCUUCCUAAUUAGACCCUAGAACAUGUUUGGGAGUGUUUUUGGGCAUUCGGUUCCGGCACGAAAAAUGAUGCAAAACGGGUGCAUUUCGGCACCCGAAUGCACUAUUGCCGGGUAGCGAAACUCGGGUGGAUUUUUUCGCAACGAACACAUGCAAUCUUCCUAAAUAUGCACUAGAACAUGUUUGGGAGUGUUUUUGGGCAUUCGGUUCCGGCACGAAAAAUGAUGCAAAACGGGUGCAUUUCGGCACCCGAAUGCACUGUUGCCGGGUAGCGAAACUCUGGUGGAUUUUUUCGCAACGAACGCAUGCAAUCUUCCUAAUUAGACCCUAGAACAUGUUUGGGAGUGUUUUUGGGCAUUUGGUUCCGGCACGAAAAAUGAUGCAAAACGGGUGCAUUUCGGCACCCGAAUGCACUAUUGCCGGGUAGCGAAACUCUGGUGGAUUUUUUCGCAACGAACGCAUGCAAUCUUCCUAAUUAGACCCUAGAACAUGUUUGGGAGUGUUUUUGGGCAUUCGGUUCCGGUAUGAAAAACGAUGCAAAACGGGUGCAUUUCGGCACCCGAAUGCACUUUUGCCGGGUAGCGAAACUCGGGUGGAUUUUCUCGCAACGAACGCAUGCAAUCUUCCUAAAUAUGCACUAGAACAUGUUUGGGAGUGUUUUUGGGCAUUCGGUUCCGGCACGAAAAAUGAUGCAAAACGGGUGCAUUUCGGCACCCGAAUGCACUAUUGCCGGGUAGCGAAACUCGGGUGGAUUUUUUCGCAACGAACGCAUGCAAUCUUCCUAAAUAUGCACUAGAACAUGUUUGGGAGUGUUUUUGGGCAUUCGGUUCCGGCACGAAAAAUGAUUCAAAACGGGUGCAUUUCGGCACCCGAAUGCACUAUUGCCGGGUAGCGAAACUCGGGUGGAUUUUUUCGCAACGAACGCAUGCAAUCUUCCUAAAUAUGCACUAGAACAUGUUUGGGAGUGUUUUUGGGCAUUCGGUUCCGGCACGAAAAAUGAUGCAAAACGGGUGCAUUUCGGCACCCGAAUGCACUAUUGCCGGGUAGCGAAACUCGGGUGGAUUUUUUCGCAACGAACGCAUGCAAUCUUCCUAAAUAUGCACUAGAACAUGUUUGGGAGUGUUUUUGGGCAUUCGGUUCCGGCACGAAAAAUGAUGCAAAACGGGUGCAUUUCGGCACCCGAAUGCACUAUUGCCGGGUAGCGAAACUCGGGUGGAUUUUUUCACAACGAACGCAUGCAAUCUUCCUAAAUAUGCACUAGAACAUGUUUGGGAGUGUUUUUGGGCAUUCGGUUCCGGCACGAAAAAUGAUUCAAAACGGGUGCAUUUCGGCACCCGAAUGCACUAUUGCCGGGUAGCGAAACUCGGGUGGAUUUUUUCGCAACGAACGCAUGCAAUCUUCCUAAAUAUGCACUAGAACAUGUUUGGGAGUGUUUUUGGGCAUUCGGUUCCGGCACGAAAAAUGAUGCAAAACGGGUGCAUUUCGGCACCCGAAUGCACUAUUGCCGGGUAGCAAAACUCGGGUGGAUUUUUUCGCAACGAACGCAUGCAAUCUUCCUAAAUAUGCACUAGAACAUGUUUGGGAGUGUUUUUGGGCAUUCGGUUCCGGCACGAAAAACGAUGCAAAACGGGUGCAUUUCGGCACCCGAGUGCACUAUUGCCGGGUAGCGAAACUCGGGUGGAUUUUUUCGCAACGAACGCAUGCAAUCUUCCUAAAUAUGCACUAGAACAUGUUUGGGAGUGUUUUUGGGCAUUCGGUUCCGGCACGAAAAAUGAUGCAAAACGGGUGCAUUUCGGCACCCGAAUGCACUGUUGCCGGGUAGCGAAACUCUGGUGGAUUUUUUCGCAACGAACACAUGCAAUCUUCCUAAUUAGACCCUAGAACAUGUUUGGGAGUGUUUUUGGGCAUUCGGUUCCGGCACGAAAAAUGAUGCAAAACGGGUGCAUUUCGGCACCCGAAUGCACUGUUGCCGGGUAGCGAAACUCGGGUGGAUUUUUUCGCAACAAACACAUGCAAUCUUCCUAAAUAUGCACUAGAACAUGUUUGGGAGUGUUUUUGGGCAUUCGGUUCCGGCACGAAAAAUGAUGCAAAACGGGUGCAUUUCGGCACCCGAAUGCACUGUUGCCGGGUAGCGAAACUCUGGUGGAUUUUUUCGCAACGAACGCAUGCAAUCUUCCUAAUUAGACCCUAGAACAUGUUUGGGAGUGUUUUUGGGCAUUUGGUUCCGGCACGAAAAAUGAUGCAAAACGGGUGCAUUUCGGCACCCGAAUGCACUAUUGCCGGGUAGCGACACUCUGGUGGAUUUUUUCGCAACGAACGCAUGCAAUCUUCCUAAUUAGACCCUAGAACAUGUUUGGGAGUGUUUUUGGGCAUUCGGUUCCGGUAUGAAAAACGAUGCAAAACGGGUGCAUUUCGGCACCCGAAUGCACUUUUGCCGGGUAGCGAAACUCGGGUGGAUUUUCUCGCAACGAACGCAUGCAAUCUUCCUAAAUAUGCACUAGAACAUGUUUGGGAGUGUUUUUGGGCAUUCGGUUCCGGCACGAAAAAUGAUGCAAAACGGGUGCAUUUCGGCACCCGAAUGCACUAUUGCCGGGUAGCGAAACUCGGGUGGAUUUUUUCGCAACGAACGCAUGCAAUCUUCCUAAAUAUGCACUAGAACAUGUUUGGGAGUGUUUUUGGGCAUUCGGUUCCGGCACGAAAAAUGAUUCAAAACGGGUGCAUUUCGGCACCCGAGUGCACUAUUGCCGGAUAGCGAAACUCGGGUGGAUUUUUUCGCAACGAACGCAUGCAAUCUUCCUAAAUAUGCACUAGAACAUGUUUGGGAGUGUUUUUGGGCAUUCGGUUCCGGCACGAAAAACGAUGCAAAACGGGUGCAUUUCGGCACCCGAAUGCACUAUUGCCGGGUAGCGAAACUCGGGUGGAUUUUUUCGCAACGAACGCAUGCAAUCUUCCUAAAUAUGCCCUAGAACAUGUUUGGGAGUGUUUUUGGGCAUUCGGUUCCGGCACGAAAAAUGAUGCAAAACGGGUGCAUUUCGGCACCCGAAUGCACUGUUGCCGGGUAGCGAAACUCUGGUGGAUUUUUUCGCAACGAACGCAUGCAAUCUUCCUAAUUAGACCCUAGAACAUGUUUGGGAGUGUUUUUGGGCAUUUGGUUCCGGCACGAAAAAUGAUGCAAAACGGGUGCAUUUCGGCACCCGAGUGCACUAUUGCCGGGUAGCGAAACUCGGGUGGAUUUUUUCGCAACGAACGCAUGCAAUCUUCCUAAAUAUGCACUAGAACAUGUUUGGGAGUGUUUUUGGGCAUUCGGUUCCGGCACGAAAAAUGAUGCAAAACGGGUGCAUUUCGGCACCCGAAUGCACUGUUGCCGGGUAGCGAAACUCGGGUGGAUUUUUUCGCAACGAACACAUGCAAUCUUCCUAAAUAUGCACUAGAACAUGUUUGGGAGUGUUUUUGGGCAUUCGGUUCCGGCACGAAAAAUGAUGCAAAACGGGUGCAUUUCGGCACCCGAAUGCACUAUUGCCGGGUAGCGAAACUCUGGUGGAUUUUUUCGCAACGAACGCAUGCAAUCUUCCUAAUUAGACCCUAGAACAUGUUUGGGAGUGUUUUUGGGCAUUCGGUUCCGGUAUGAAAAACGAUGCAAAACGGGUGCAUUUCGGCACCCGAAUGCACUUUUGCCGGGUAGCGAAACUCGGGUGGAUUUUCUCGCAACGAACGCAUGCAAUCUUCCUAAAUAUGCACUAGAACAUGUUUGGGAGUGUUUUUGGGCAUUCGGUUCCGGCACGAAAAAUGAUGCAAAACGGGUGCAUUUCGGCACCCGAAUGCACUAUUGCCGGGUAGCGAAACUCGGGUGGAUUUUUUCGCAACGAACGCAUGCAAUCUUCCUAAAUAUGCACUAGAACAUGUUUGGGAGUGUUUUUGGGCAUUCGGUUCCGGCACGAAAAAUGAUGCAAAACGGGUGCAUUUCGGCACCCGAAUGCACUAUUGCCGGGUAGCGAAACUCGGGUGGAUUUUUUCGCAACGAACGCAUGCAAUCUUCCUAAAUAUGCACUAGAACAUGUUUGGGAGUGUUUUUGGGCAUUCGGUUCCGGCACGAAAAAUGAUUCAAAACGGGUGCAUUUCGGCACCCGAGUGCACUAUUGCCGGAUAGCGAAACUCGGGUGGAUUUUGUCGCAACGAACGCAUGCAAUCUUCCUAAAUAUGCACUAGAACAUGUUUGGGAGUGUUUUUGGGCAUUCGGUUCCGGCACGAAAAACGAUGCAAAACGGGUGCAUUUCGGCACCCGAGUGCACUAUUGCCGGGUAGCGAAACUCGGGUGGAUUUUUUCGCAACGAACGCAUGCAAUCUUCCUAAAUAUGCACUAGAACAUGUUUGGGAGUGUUUUUGGGCAUUCGGUUCCGGCACGAAAAAUGAUGCAAAACGGGUGCAUUUCGGCACCCGAAUGCACUGUUGCCGGGUAGCGAAACUCUGGUGGAUUUUUUCGCAACGAACGCAUGCAAUCUUCCUAAUUAGACCCUAGAACAUGUUUGGGAGUGUUUUUGGGCAUUGGGUUCCGGCACGAAAAAUGAUGCAAAACGGGUGCAUUUCGGCACCCGAGUGCACUAUUGCCGGGUAGCGAAACUCGGGUGGAUUUUUUCGCAACGAACGCAUGCAAUCUUCCUAAAUAUGCACUAGAACAUGUUUGGGAGUGUUUUUGGGCAUUCGGUUCCGGCACGAAAAAUGAUUCAAAACGGGUGCAUUUCGGCACCCGAGUGCACUAUUGCCGGAUAGCGAAACUCGGGUGGAUUUUUUCGCAACGAACGCAUGCAAUCUUUCUAAAUAUGCACUAGAACAUGUUUGGGAGUGUUUUUGGGCAUUCGGUUCCGGCACGAAAAAUGAUGCAAAACGGGUGCAUUUCGGCACCCGAAUGCACUGUUGCCGGGUAGCGAAACUCGGGUGGAUUUUUUCGCAACGAACACAUGCAAUCUUCCUAAAUAUGCACUAGAACAUGUUUGGGAGUGUUUUUGGGCAUUCGGUUCCGGCACGAAAAAUGAUGCAAAACGGGUGCAUUUCGGCACCCGAAUGCACUGUUGCCGGGGUAGCGAAACUCGGGUGGAUUUUUUCGCAACAAACACAUGCAAUCUUCCUAAAUAUGCACUAGAACAUGUUUGGGAGUGUUUUUGGGCAUUCGGUUCCGGCACGAAAAAUGAUGCAAAACGGGUGCAUUUCGGCACCCGAAUGCACUGUUGCCGGGUAGCGAAACUCUGGUGGAUUUUUUCGCAACGAACGCAUGCAAUCUUCCUAAUUAGACCCUAGAACAUGUUUGGGAGUGUUUUUGGGCAUUUGGUUCCGGCACGAAAAAUGAUGCAAAACGGGUGCAUUUCGGCACCCGAAUGCACUAUUGCCGGGUAGCGACACUCUGGUGGAUUUUUUCGCAACGAACGCAUGCAAUCUUCCUAAAUAUGCACUAGAACAUGUUUGGGAGUGUUUUUGGGCAUUCGGUUCCGGCACGAAAAAUGAUGCAAAACGGGUGCAUUUCGGCACCCGAAUGCACUAUUGCCGGGUAGCGAAACUCUGGUGGAUUUUUUCGCAACGAACGCAUGCAAUCUUCCUAAUUAGACCCUAGAACAUGUUUGGGAGUGUUUUUGGGCAUUCGGUUCCGGUAUGAAAAACGAUGCAAAACGGGUGCAUUUCGGCACCCGAAUGCACUUUUGCCGGGUAGCGAAACUCGGGUGGAUUUUUUGCAACGAACGCAUGCAAUCUUCCUAAAUAUGCACUAGAACAUGUUUGGGAGUGUUUUUGGGCAUUCGGUUCCGGCACGAAAAAUGAUGCAAAACGGGUGCAUUUCGGCACCCGAAUGCACUAUUGCCGGGUAGCGAAACUCGGGUGGAUUUUUUCGCAACGAACGCAUGCAAUCUUCCUAAAUAUGCACUAGAACAUGUUUGGGAGUGCUUUUGGGCAUUCGGUUCCGGCACGAAAAACGAUGCAAAACGUGUGCAUUUCGGCACCCGAAUGCACUAUUGCCGGGUAGCGAAACUCGGGUGGAUUUUUUCGCAACGAACGCAUGCAAUCUUUCUAAAUAUGCACUAGAACAUGUUUGGGAGUGUUUUUGGGCAUUCGGUUCCGGCACGAAAAAUGAUGCAAAACGGGUGCAUUUCGGCACCCGAAUGCACUGUUGCCGGGUAGCGAAACUCGGGUGGAUUUUUUCGCAACGAACACAUGCAAUCUUCCUAAAUAUGCACUAGAACAUGUUUGGGAGUGUUUUUGGGCAUUCGGUUCCGGCACGAAAAAUGAUGCAAAACGGGUGCAUUUCGGCACCCGAAUGCACUAUUGCCGGGUAGCGAAACUCUGGUGGAUUUCUUCGCAACGAACGCAUGCAAUCUUCCUAAAUAUGCACUAGAACAUGUUUGGGAGUGUUUUUGGGCAUUCGGUUCCGGCACGAAAAAUGAUGCAAAACGGGUGCAUUUCGGCACCCGAAUGCACUGUUGCCGGGUAGCGAAACUCGGGUGGAUUUUUUCGCAACGAACACAUGCAAUCUUCCUAAAUAUGCACUAGAACAUGUUUGGGAGUGUUUUUGGGCAUUCGGUUCCGGCACGAAAAAUGAUGCAAAACGGGUGCAUUUCGGCACCCGAAUGCACUAUUGCCGGGUAGCGAAACUCUGGUGGAUUUUUUCGCAACGAACGCAUGCAAUCUUCCUAAUUAGACCCUAGAACAUGUUUGGGAGUGUUUUUGGGCAUUCGGUUCCGGUAUGAAAAACGAUGCAAAACGGGUGCAUUUCGGCACCCGAAUGCACUUUUGCCGGGUAGCGAAACUCGGGUGGAUUUUCUCGCAACGAACGCAUGCAAUCUUCCUAAAUAUGCACUAGAACAUGUUUGGGAGUGUUUUUGGGCAUUCGGUUCCGGCACGAAAAAUGAUGCAAAACGGAUGCAUUUCGGCACCCGAAUGCACUAUUGCCGGGUAGCGAAACUCGGGUGGAUUUUUCCGCAACGAACGCAUGCAAUCUUUCUAAAUAUGCACUAGAACAUGUUUGGGAGUGUUUUUGGGCAUUCGGUUCCGGCACAAAAAAUGAUGCAAAACGGGUGCAUUUCGGCACCCGAAUGCACUAUUGCCGGGUAGCGAAACUCUGGUGGAUUUUUUCGCAACGAACGCAUGCAAUCUUCCUAAUUAGACCCUAGAACAUGUUUGGGAGUGUUUUUGGGCAUUCGGUUCCGGUAUGAAAAACGAUGCAAAACGGGUGCAUUUCGGCACCCGAAUGCACUUUUGCCGGGUAGCGAAACUCGGGUGGAUUUUUUCGCAACGAACGCAUGCAAUCUUCCUAAAUAUGCACUAGAACAUGUUUGGGAGUGCUUUUGGGCAUUCGGUUCCGGCACGAAAAACGAUGCAAAACGGGUGCAUUUCGGCACCCGAAUGCACUAUUGCCGGGUAGCGAAACUCGGGUGGAUUUUUUCGCAACGAACGCAUGCAAUCUUCCUAAAUAUGCACUAGAACAUGUUUGGGAGUGUUUUUGGGCAUUCGGUUCCGGCACGAAAAAUGAUGCAAAACGGGUGCAUUUCGGCACCCGAAUGCACUGUUGCCGGGUAGCGAAACUCGGGUGGAUUUUUUCGCAACGAACACAUGCAAUCUUCCUAAAUAUGCACUAGAACAUGUUUGGGAGUGUUUCUGGGCAUUCGGUUCCGGCACGAAAAAUGAUGCAAAACGGGUGCAUUUCGGCACCCGAAUGCACUAUUGCCGGGUAGCGAAACUCUGGUGGAUUUUUUCGCAACGAACGCAUGCAAUCUUCCUAAUUAGACCCUAGAACAUGUUUGGGAUUGUUUUUGGGCAUUCGGUUCCGGUAUGAAAAACGAUGCAAAACGGGUGCAUUUCGGCACCCGAAUGCACUUUUGCCGGGGUAGCGAAACUCGGGUGGAUUUUUUCGCAACGAACGCAUGCAAUCUUCCUAAAUAUGCACUAGAACAUGUUUGGGAGUGUUUUUGGGCAUUCGGUUCCGGCACGAAAAAUGAUGCAAAACGGGUGCAUUUCGGCACCCGAAUGCACUAUUGCCGGGUAGCGAAACUCUGGUGGAUUUUUUCGCAACGAACGCAUGCAAUCUUCCUAAUUAGACCCUAGAACAUGUUUGGGAGUGUUUUUGGGCAUUCGGUUCCGGCACGAAAAAUGAUGCAAAACGGGUGCAUUUCGGCACCCGAAUGCACUGUUGCCGGGUAGCGAAACUCGGGUGGAUUUUUUCGCAACGAACACAUGCAAUCUUCCUAAAUAUGCACUAGAACAUGUUUGGGAGUGUUUUUGGGCAUUCGGUUCCGGCACGAAAAAUGAUGCAAAACGGGUGCAUUUCGGCACCCGAAUGCACUAUUGCCGGGUAGCGAAACUCUGGUGGAUUUUUUCGCAACGAACGCAUGCAAUCUUCCUAAUUAGACCCUAGAACAUGUUUGGGAGUGUUUUUGGGCAUUCGGUUCCGGUAUGAAAAACGAUGCAAAACGGGUGCAUUUCGGCACCCGAAUGCACUUUUGCCGGGUAGCGAAACUCGGGUGGAUUUUCUCGCAACGAACGCAUGCAAUCUUCCUAAAUAUGCACUAGAACAUGUUUGGGAGUGUUUUUGGGCAUUCGGUUCCGGCACGAAAAAUGAUGCAAAACGGGUGCAUUUCGGCACCCGAAUGCACUAUUGCCGGGUAGCGAAACUCGGGUGGAUUUUUUCGCAACGAACGCAUGCAAUCUUCCUAAAUAUGCACUAGAACAUGUUUGGGAGUGUUUUUGGGCAUUCGGUUCCGGCACGAAAAAUGAUGCAAAACGGGUGCAUUUCGGCACCCGAAUGCACUAUUGCCGGUUAGCGAAACUCGGGUGGAUUUUUUCGCAACGAACGCAUGCAAUCUUCCUAAAUAUGCACUAGAACAUGUUUGGGAGUGUUUUUGGGCAUUCGGUUCCGGCACGAAAAAUGAUGCAAAACGGGUGCAUUUCGGCACCCGAAUGCAUUGUUGCCGGGUAGCGAAACUCGGGUGGAUUUUUUCGCAACGAACACAUGCAAUCUUCCUAAAUAUGCACUAGAACAUGUUUGGGAGUGUUUCUGGGCAUUCGGUUCCGGCACGAAAAAUGAUGCAAAACGGGUGCAUUUCGGCACCCGAAUGCACUAUUGCCGGGUAGCGAAACUCUGGUGGAUUUUUUCGCAACGAACGCAUGCAAUCUUCCUAAUUAGACCCUAGAACAUGUUUGGGAUUGUUUUUGGGCAUUCGGUUCCGGUAUGAAAAACGAUGCAAAACGGGUGCAUUUCGGCACCCGAAUGCACUUUUGCCAGGUAGCGAAACUCGGGUGGAUUUUUUCGCAACGAACGCAUGCAAUCUUCCUAAAUAUGCACUAGAACAUGUUUGGGAGUGUUUUUGGGCAUUCGGUUCCGGCACGAAAAAUGAUGCAAAACGGGUGCAUUUCGGCACCCGAAUGCACUGUUGCCGGGUAGCGAAACUCGGGUGGAUUUUUUCGCAACGAACGCAUGCAAUCUUCCUAAAUAUGCACUAGAACAUGUUUGGGAGUGUUUUUGGGCAUUCGGUUCCGGCACGAAAAAUGAUGCAAAACGGGUGCAUUUCGGCACCCGAAUGCACUGUUGCCGGGUAGCGAAACUCGGGUGGAUUUUUUCGCAACGAACCCAUGCAAUCUUCCUAAAUAUGCACUAGAACAUGUUUGGGAGUGUUUUUGGGCAUUCGGUUCCGGCACGAAAAAUGAUGCAAAACGGGUGCAUUUCGGCACCCGAAUGCACUAUUGCCGGGGUAGCGAAACUCUGGUGGAUUUUUUCGCAACGAACGCAUGCAAUCUUCCUAAUUAGACCCUAGAACAUGUUUGGGAGUGUUUUUGGGCAUUCGGUUCCGGUAUGAAAAACGAUGCAAAACGGGUGCAUUUCGGCACCCGAAUGCACUUUUGCCGGGUAGCGAAACUCGGGUGGAUUUUUUCACAACGAACGCAUGCAAUCUUCCUAAAUAUGCACUAGAACAUGUUUGGGAGUGUUUUUGGGCAUUCGGUUCCGGCACGAAAAAUGAUGCAAAACGGGUGCAUUUCGGCACCCGAAUGCACUAUUGCCGGGUAGCGAAACUCUGGUGGAUUUUUUCGCAACGAACGCAUGCAAUCUUCCUAAUUAGACCCUAGAACAUGUUUGGGAGUGUUUUUGGGCAUUCGGUUCCGGCACGAAAAAUGAUGCAAAACGGGUGCAUUUCGGCACCCGAAUGCACUGUUGCCGGGUAGCGAAACUCGGGUGGAUUUUUUCGCAACGAACACAUGCAAUCUUCCUAAAUAUGCACUAGAACAUGUUUGGGAGUGUUUUUGGGCAUUCGGUUCCGGCACGAAAAAUGAUGCAAAACGGGUGCAUUUCGGCACCCGAAUGCACUAUUGCCGGGUAGCGAAACUCUGGUGGAUUUUUUCGCAACGAACGCAUGCAAUCUUCCUAAUUAGACCCUAGAACAUGUUUGGGAGUGUUUUUGGGCAUUCGGUUCCGGUAUGAAAAAUGAUGCAAAACGGGUGCAUUUCGGCACCCGAAUGCACUUUUGCCGGGUAGCGAAACUCGGGUGGAUUUUCUCGCAACGAACGCAUGCAAUCUUCCUAAAUAUGCACUAGAACAUGUUUGGGAGUGUUUUUGGGCAUUCGGUUCCGGCACGAAAAAUGAUGCAAAACGGGUGCAUUUCGGCACCCGAAUGCACUAUUGCCGGGUAGCGAAACUCGGGUGGAUUUUUUCGCAACGAACGCAUGCAAUCUUCCUAAAUAUGCACUAGAACAUGUUUGGGAGUGUUUUUGGGCAUUCGGUUCCGGCACGAAAAAUGAUGCAAAACGGGUGCAUUUCGGCACCCGAAUGCACUAUUGCCGGUUAGCGAAACUCGGGUGGAUUUUUUCGCAACGAACGCAUGCAAUCUUCCUAAAUAUGCACUAGAACAUGUUUGGGAGUGUUUUUGGGCAUUCGGUUCCGGCACGAAAAAUGAUGCAAAACGGGUGCAUUUCGGCACCCGAAUGCAUUGUUGCCGGGUAGCGAAACUCGGGUGGAUUUUUUCGCAACGAACACAUGCAAUCUUCCUAAAUAUGCACUAGAACAUGUUUGGGAGUGUUUCUGGGCAUUCGGUUCCGGCACGAAAAAUGAUGCAAAACGGGUGCAUUUCGGCACCCGAAUGCACUAUUGCCGGGUAGCGAAACUCUGGUGGAUUUUUUCGCAACGAACGCAUGCAAUCUUCCU